CCAAUAGCGUAUAUUAAAGUUGUUGCAGUUAAAAAGCUCGUAGUUGAACUUCAGGCCUGUCCCGAUGGUCCGCCUUAAUUGGUGUGUACUGUCCUUGGGUGGGUCCUACCUUCUGGCGAAGCGGCAUGGCCUUAAUUGGUUGUGUCGGGGAAGCAGGACUUUUACUGUGAAAAAAUUAGAGUGUUCAAAGCAGGCAUAAUAUGCUCGAAUACAUUAGCAUGGAAUAAUGGAAUAGGACGAUGGUUCUAUUUUGUUGGUUCUAGGACCGUUGUAAUGAUUAAUAGGGAUAGUUGGGGGCAUUAGUAUUCAAUUGUCAGAGGUGAAAUUCUUGGAUUGAUUGAAGACGAACUACUGCGAAAGCAUUUGCCAAGGAUGUUUUCAUUAAUCAAGAACGAAAGUUAGGGGAUCGAAGACGAUCAGAUACCGUCGUAGUCUUAACCAUAAACGAUGCCGACUAGGAAUCGGGCGAUGUUGACAAAAUGACUCGCUCGGCACCUCAUG
RNAcentral lists this unclassified non-coding RNA (501 nucleotides) under uncultured Glomeromycotina. RNAcentral describes it as "bacterial SSU rRNA". It matches the Rfam family "Eukaryotic small subunit ribosomal RNA", at positions 591 to 1092 of the family's 1831-position model. The record is from RNAcentral. Lineage: Eukaryota; Fungi; Glomeromycota.